AAAGUAUAUACAUAUAUGCCUAGAAAAACAUCCAGAAACCUAUUAGACAAAUGUCAACUGUGGUUAAUUAUUGGGUGGUGAAAUUGAGUUUUAAUUUUCUUGUAAUUUUUAAUUUAUGUUUAUUUUACAAUAAAUGAACAGUAAUUACAAAUCUUUAAAGACUUUUGGAAGACCUUUUGGAAAAAAAUUAUUGCUGCUCUUGUGAGAACCACUGAUAGAUAUUGUUUCAGUCCUUCUGCUCUGAGAAGUAUGCAAGUUAUGGUCAUAGAAACUCUGUGGGCUACGAAAAAGUGCACAUUAAGGUUAUUCAAAGGGCUGGAGUUUAUAAGGCACCAGCAUAACCUUGCCACAAACAGGUUUACGCUUAUGAAACAAAUCUAUCUAGGUGGAUUCAUCUUUUACUAAAUAUUUCCCUGUUGACACAGCUUUACUCGCCAAUGUUUAAUUGCUUUGUAUAAUUUGUAUUAAGCACUAUAACAUUAUGCUACACAGUACUUCAACCCAUAACAAGACUUGAACCUGCAAUAAUGUCAUUCCCAAGGAAGAUGACCCAGGAUUUUUGUAUAGGUACCUCCACAGAGCAUGGUGGUUAAGGAGGUUCUGUCAUAGGCUCUGAGCCUGUGUAGAAAUUAGCAGGCAAACCCUAGGUCAUGAUGGAAGUAUGCAUCCAGCAGAAUGGAGAAGGGUCAUUAUGGCCUUCAACUGCAGACAUUAACAAGUGUGUCCUAACCUGCUUCAUUCCUGGCAUGUGGGAACAGAACCUUGAAGAUCUGGAUUCAAGUCAAGCUUCUUGAAUGUUAAAUAUGUAAACAUGUAAAAAUCUGGAAUCCUUUAUAGAUUAUUACAUUUUAAAGCUGAUCGUUUACAUAUAGAGCAUUAAAUUAAAUAGGCACAUUCUUUAUAUAUAAACAAACAAACUCUCUAGUGAUUUAUUUUCUCACCAUGGAAUUUCAAUUUCUGAUGGAUUUUGAUGCACAUAUUGCAUCAUUUAUAUAAAAAUUUCAUUUGAAGGUGCCCAUAAAAUUUAAGCUGCAGGUGAACUAUCAAGAGAAUACGUGAAAGUCAUUUACAAAAUUAGAACGAGCCCAAGACAGGAUGGAAAAACCCAAGCUUCUAUAGAUAUUUUCCAGAAUUUUUAGGGUUCAGGAUGAUCAUGUUUAAUUCCCAAAGCCGCAAUUCCUAGCAGCAUAGGAGCUCUCAAAUAUGCAGAAGGAAAUGAUUCAGAACUGAAAGAGGAUAAGUCAUCCAAUGAAUGGUAAGAAUUAAGCCUAAUGUCAGUAGGUGGCAUGCAUGCCUUCAAUUAUUUGACAUACAGUUACUGAGCACCUGCUCAGUAAAUCAUAGGGCCCAAAGAUAAUUUCCUGGAGGAAUGUGUGACUCAAGGCUAUUUGGUCUGCCUGUGUCCUUCCUCUGUAGCUCAUAAGCACUCUACAUGUGCAAAGUCAAGUUUAAAUGAAAGUCAAGGGGAACAGUGAGAAAAGAAGCGAGAAAGGUGCAGCAUCGUGUGAGAGUGUGUGUGUGUGUGUGUGUGUGUGUGUGUGUGUGUGUGUGUGUUUGUAAUGGAGUGAGAGGUGCCAGAAAAAUUUAGCUUUCCCUUCUUUCCAGGUCUCUUUGCUUCAGGAGCUGGGGAAGUGUUGCAGUCAUCUCCUUUUCCCUUUUUAGCUCUUCUUCAGUCCCCAUGCCUUCAAAUAACCUCUGGAGCUUGGAAUAAUUUAUCUGAUUAACUGUUCUCAGGAUAACCGUGUGGGCAUAAGAGGAAAGCAGGUUACUGAUGCUACUGUGGCCUCCUAGCAACUGACACAAUCAAUGCUCUUUGGUUUGGGAUGUUAGGCUGCAACCGUCCUUAGGGAGCUGUAUAUUUUCCAUAUGUGUUGAGAAGUAUAGCAAAGUCUAAGAGAAUUAAAUGAGAGAAUUUGGUUACCCUACUUUCUGGCUUGCUAAGGGUUAACUUUCUAAAUUCCAAAAUCCUUUUUGUGUCUCCUGUCAUUAAAAUUAUAAAAUAAUUCAUUUCAUUUUUUGUCUUAGCAAAUAGAGCAUUUUGACAAUAACAUAGGAUGUUGUGACUGAUUAACAUGAUGCACACUGUAAAGAACUAAAGAUAUCAAAGGAUGUUGACAUUAAACGCACCUUAUAAGUUGUUAUGAUUUUUCACUUGUAAUUUUUUCCAUAACAUUAGACUAUUGACUAUGAAAGACAAAAAUCUGAUCACUUGAAGAUUGUUAUUUUUUAGAUUAUGAUUAUUCUAGACUUACUGCACUGUUAAUGAACCUUUAGUAAAUUUGAUGCAUAAGUGUUUCCUGGAGUACAAAAAAUAAAUGAUUCUUUGAUAAAGAAAGACUCAAAAUGUUUUUCCUCAUUUUUCCAGUCAAAUUUUUUUUUUUAGUUCAGAUCUUUGAAAAAUAUCCCACAAGUUAUAAAGAUUAAUAAAACUGGACAAAUAUAAAAGUCUCAUGAUUGAAGUGACAUUUUCACAUAAAUUUCAUUAAAGGAACCAUUAGGCUAAAGUGUUUUUAUGUGUAUUAAACUGUGCUAUGUAAACUACCAGGGACUUUUUUUUUAAGCAGCCUAAAUAAAAGAGAAAUGGGUCAAGAAGAAGCUAAUUAAGUAAUUUAUUGAAGGCUCAAGUAUAAACAAGACAACAAUCCAAGAUUCUUAUUUUGCAGAUGGUAUUUUUCACUGCUUCCUUCACCUCUUGGAUGCUUCAUAUUUCACAUUAUUUUAAGAACAAUUCACUCCCAGAGGAUCAUGGAUGUACAGUCAGUUUGGUCUUGCUGAGUCAACGUGUGCACGUGUUCUCACAAAUCUCCAGGCAACAUUCACUGACAAGGCAGGGGGAGCUGUGCUCAGCAUUUUCUUCAAAUUGCUGUCUGAACAGUGGUGUGAAAAUGAUGUUCACUGUUGUUUGUUUCACCCAUUCUCAGUACUGAGAGUUGUCAAAAUUACUAUUUCUGAGUACAGCAUGUGUUCUAAUUAAAGAUAAAGUGUCUUUAAGACUCAGGCCUAUCUCCAGGGAGCAAUGUAUUAGUUACAUGGAUGUAGCCCAGAGGGAAUUUUUGGAAAUUUGGAGAACUGCAUUCUAGAGACUCAAAACUGUGACUGCUGAGUGGACCAUCUAUGGGCAAGAGCAGAAUCACUGAAUACUGGAGGAGGGUUGCAAGGUGGCCUGGUUUCUGUGGCAGUGAUCUGGUAGGUUCUGCUGAGGAAAACUGGAUGGUGUCUGGCAUGUCUUCAGUAAGUAAUAAAUGCUAGCAAGCACUUUUGUUAUUGGAUUAUGGCUGGAAUUGUCAUCUAAAGGGAGAAACGUUAAGUUUUCUUUAAAAUAUUAUUAUGUUAGUUUCCUAAGGCUGCCAUACCAACCACUAACUAGAUAAGUUAAAGCAAAAGAAAUUUAUUCUCACUGUUUUGGAGGCUACAAGUCUGAAAGGAAGAUGUCAGCAGGGCGGGUGCCUUUCGGGGGCUCUGGGGGAGAAUCUGUUUCAUGUCUGUGUCCUGGCUUCUGGUGAACAUAGGCAAUGCUUGGUGUUCCUUGGCUUGUAGAUGCAUCACUCCAGUCUCUGCCUCCAGCUUCACGUGGCCUUCUGCUUGUGUAUCUCUGUGGCUUCACAUGGCUGUCUUCUCAUAGAAACACCAGUCAUAUGGAAUUAGGGGUCUACCCCACUCCACUAUGACCUCAUCUUAACUUAUUACAUCUGCAAGGACCCUAUUCCCACAUAAGGUCACAUUCUGAGGUAUUAUAGGUUAGGAUUUCAACAUAUUUUUGGGAGGACACACAAUUCAACUCAUAUUGGACUUUAUGACUCUAUGAAAUUACUCAAGAGAAUAGCUUCAUAAUGCAUGAGAAAUAAAAAUUGGGGUGAUUCAAGACAUUACAAACUUUAUAGUUAAUGUUUGUUCAAAUUAACUUAAAGGAGGGGGUGGGACCCAGAGAAGGAAGGGGCUCAAGAGAGCUCAUAGCUUAUUUCUACAAAAUAAAGAAUUUCCUUGCUGUCUGUGAGCACUUGGCAACUUUAGGUUGAGGACUGUGCUCUGAAUUGUCUUCUCAUCUCACAUCCCUGCCUAACUGUACACUUACAUUUUGUCAUACAAUCCAUCUCCACACAUUUUCUUCCUUCACCUUUACCCCCACAAUCCCUCCAAUCCUGCCUGGAGGCUAAAGCAAAUGAAAUAUAUCUACUGUUCUGUACAUUUAGCUAAUAAAAGAACACUGAGUCUCCACAUUCAAAUUUCCUUGCAAUGUUAGAUUGCUUGCUCUAGUUUAGCCUAUUAACUAUGGGCAAAAUACCUUGAAUAUAUUUUAUUUCUCUAUUUUGUGACAUUAACAUUUGACUUUCAGCUAAUCAUUUAAAUGUGUGGCACCGGAAAACACAUCUUCAUAAUUGCCUCCUUAUUUACAUUCCUCAGGGCUGAAGCAUGGCAAUUUGAAUGGAUGCAGUUUAAGAAUUAAUAUAGAUAGACAAAAAUGACAGAGGAUUGUAAAGAGGCCCCAUGGUUUUGGGAGCUAUUCCCUGGCAAUCCCUUGUGUUUGAUUAUAAAAAAAAAAAAAAUAAAG
Molecule: long non-coding RNA, 4549 nt
Organism: Homo sapiens (human)
Lineage: Eukaryota; Metazoa; Chordata; Mammalia; Primates; Hominidae
Exons: 2
Source: RefSeq, a predicted model, not a curated record